AUUGAACGCUGGCGGCAGGCUUAACACAUGCAAGUCGAGCGGAGUGAUGGUGCUUGCACUAUCACUUAGCGGCGGACGGGUGAGUAAUGCUUAGGAAUCUGCCUAUUAGUGGGGGACAACAUUUCGAAAGGAAUGCUAAUACCGCAUACGUCCUACGGGAGAAAGCAGGGGAUCUUCGGACCUUGCGCUAAUAGAUGAGCCUAAGUCGGAUUAGCUAGUUGGUGGGGUAAAGGCCUACCAAGGCGACGAUCUGUAGCGGGUCUAAGAGGAUGAUCCGCCACACUGGGACUGAGACACGGCCCAGACUCCUACGGGAGGCAGCAGUGGGGAAUAUUGGACAAUGGGCGCAAGCCUGAUCCAGCCAUGCCGCGUGUGUGAAGAAGGCCUUAUGGUUGUAAAGCACUUUAAGCGAGGAGGAGGCUACUGAAGUUAAUACCUUCAGAUAGUGGACGUUACUCGCAGAAUAAGCACCGGCUAACUCUGUGCCAGCAGCCGCGGUAAUACAGAGGGUGCAAGCGUUAAUCGGAUUUACUGGGCGUAAAGCGCGCGUAGGCGGCUAAUUAAGUCAAAUGUGAAAUCCCCGAGCUUAACUUGGGAAUUGCAUUCGAUACUGGUUAGCUAGAGUGUGGGAGAGGAUGGUAGAAUUCCAGGU
This 652-nucleotide ribosomal RNA is filed under the name uncultured Acinetobacter sp. Its description in RNAcentral is "bacterial SSU rRNA". It matches the Rfam family "Bacterial small subunit ribosomal RNA", at positions 28 to 674 of the family's 1533-position model. The record is from RNAcentral. Lineage: Bacteria; Pseudomonadati; Pseudomonadota; Gammaproteobacteria; Moraxellales; Moraxellaceae.